GUGAAAGUGAAUAAAAUAGGGCGCGCGUGGAGGAGUGAAAGAGAAAUGUAAACCGAGGCUUGGGAAUCGGACAAGUCUAGUUCGUGAUCGUUGAUUAUUAUAAGAUUUUUUUUCAUUUUUAGGUAAUAGGAGUUUUGCGGUGGUGGUGUUUGGUUACGAGGGUAAAGGCGUCCUGUAUCUGUAAUAGCAGAAGAUGACGACGACGACGACGACGACAGUGGUGUUAGACGAGGAAGACGAGAACUUAGCUCACUUCCUCGAAUCCGAGGUUCUUUCUGUCUCCGACCAGGAAGAUGGGAAAACAGUAGAGGAAGAGCCAAACGCAAAAAGAGCGAAGCUUGUUGAUAAAGAUAACGAGGAGGAGGACAACAACAACAACAACAAGCGAAACAACGUUGUUCCAAAGAGGAUAGAGAGUGGGAUUUUCAGCAAAGUCCCAUCAGAACUCUUUCCUCACAUCCUUAAAUUCCUGUCUUCCGAGGAUCUUGUAGCUUGCUCACUUGUCUGCCGUUUCUUGAAUUAUGCGGCAUCUGAUGAGUUUUUGUGGCGUCGCUUGUACUGUAUGAGAUGGGGUCUGUUGCCCCCUACAAAAAAGUUACGGCAAUGUCCUUGGAAACAGCUUUAUAUUCAGCGCGAUGAAGAGGACAUGAUUGAACUUGUUAGAGAUUGCCAACCUGAGUUUAAAGAGUACUACAUUCAAAUGCAAGCGGCCAAGAGAAGCCAAGCACCUCUUCCUUCACAGGUGAAUGAUGACCGAAUAAUUCUUGAUAAGACAGUGGCUGAUCAAGUGUCUAUGUGGAAAAGCAGCAGGGGCCUGACUGAUAAGGUGGUCACUGACCAUGCUUGUUCUGGAGAAACAUGUUCUUACUACCAUAUUGGAGAUGUAUUUAUUUGUGAGAAGACUGGACUUGUACACGUCUGUGAUGAUGCAUGCAGAGAAAUUGUUAUGGAUCCCACCGAUGAGAUUUUGGUCUGUAAAAUAUCUGGGCAUUGUUUUGAUAGGCUACUUUCAGCAGCUGAAAUGGAUCCAGAUACUAAAGUACACGUGGGUGUCACAUGGCCAAGAAUGCUGCUCAAUUCAAUGGCUAGAUGCCCUGUUUUCUAGUGCCAAAAACUGGGCAUUAAGCCUUCUUAUUCAUAUAGUGUUUGACUGGAUCAUCAACUUCAUGAUCAAGUCCGCCAUGUUUUCCACCAAUUUCUUUGUAUGGCUCAACAGUUCAACUUCAACUGGAUUGUGGUAUGUGGGACCCUUUUGGUAGAAGGAACAGGAACAGCAACAAUGUGGUGUUACUGAUGAAGCAGAGCCAUUCAUGGGCUCCGGUCGUUUUGCACGAGCUUAUCUGUUGGGAU
Molecule: RNA transcript, 1350 nt
Organism: Quercus lobata
Lineage: Eukaryota; Viridiplantae; Streptophyta; Magnoliopsida; Fagales; Fagaceae
Gene name: F-box family protein
Exons: 10
Source: RefSeq, a predicted model, not a curated record